Molecule: long non-coding RNA, 483 nt
Filed under: Citrus x clementina
Lineage: Eukaryota; Viridiplantae; Streptophyta; Magnoliopsida; Sapindales; Rutaceae
Description: Citrus clementina (C. clementina) long non-coding RNA (CCLE_LNC005587)
Source: RNAcentral
UUGACAAUUUCAUAUUCAGACCCACUACGUUAUCAUACGACAGAACCAUAAUGAAUUAUCCUGUUACUUCGAUAUACAGAGCUGUUGGAAAAAUUCCACGUAAAUAUUUCUCCGUUUGAAGAUCCCAACAAAGAGAGCAGAGAGGAAUGUUGAGGUGGUGAAGGAAGCCGAGGACCUGGUGGCUGGUAGCCAUGUGAGGCACGGUCGUGGGCACAGUGUGCACAUAGAAAGAAAGAAAAGCGAGACAUGAUUAUUAUUGAUGAUCAAUUUAUCGAACGCAGCAGCAAGCAACACAAAGGCCUUUUUACUGAUGGAGAAAGACCAGUGCGAUCACAACCAUGCACAUGGCCGACACGCACAUACACACUUAACACACUUUUGUGUGGUGUGGGCAUAAGAAUUGAGAACUUGCAUUUGCCUGUUUAAAACCUUUUUCCAGUUUUAAGCCCCCCAGGCAUUUGCGUUCAUGACAAAAUCCAAAAG